UCACAUUGGUUAACUAUGCCUGGAACAAAGUGAAGGGAAGUCCAGGAUACAAAGCUACCGAUGCCGAGGAGACAUACACGAAGCAAGACAAUGAAAAAUAGAUUACAUUCCAUUAUUUCUGUGUUUCACUUCAUUAUCUAUGAUGAUCGAGUAUUCCAAACCAAUCAAGUUAUUUUCAUUUCUAUGUGCAGAUCCCUAGUUUAGAUGUUAAUAGGAACAUAUCAUAUACCUCAAGGUAGUUUAACUUUUGUCAGGACACACCAACUGCCCUACAGGUCUAGAACAGCACCUAUUUCCUCCCGGUCCUCACCAUCUGCGCUAUUUUUUUCAAAAAAAAGAACCAUCAAAGGCGUUAAAGAAUUACACCUAUUACCUCAUUUAGCCAAUUCUGAAAAAUCAUAAUUGGAUAAACAAUCACCAGAGCUACUGUUAGUUUCUACAUCACAGAGGUGCCUGCCUAAAUCAUGCUAGUGAAUUCUUUCAUUUCUUCAGAUUACUAAAGCAUCUUCAUUUAAGCAAGCUUGCAGUGAUUCAGAGCAGCACCAAUUCCUUUCCUAGAAUCAGUAAGAAGCACAAUAACCAUACCUCGUAUGAAUCGGGUACUUUGGGAAGAGCUCCGCGAGGAUCCGGUACAGCUCACCGCGGUGCAGAGUCCGCUCGGCACAAACUGGAAAGGAGGGAGGAGGAGGAGGACAAGGAGGAGGAGGUGGCGGACCGGAAAGGUCUAGCGGCGGCGGCGGUGGUGGCAGCGAACUGGAAAGGAGGGAGGAGGACGAGGACUAGGACGAGGCGGCGGCGGACAUGAAAGAGCUGGCGGCGGCGGUGGCCCAAGCGAGAGCGACGGGAGGCGUCCAGACGGCGGGCGGCGGGCGGGAGGCGGCGGCGGCCGAGCGAUAGGAGGAGGCCUGCGGCCUGGAAGAUCCGGAGGCGAACCUUGCGGCGGGAGGCGGCGUGGAAAAGCCGGAGGCGGCGUGCGUGCGGGAAGAGCCAGAGGAGGCGUGCAUAUCCUAAGCCGCGCCGCCACCCGCCGCCCGCCCGUAGUCGCCGCCGACCCUUGGAGUCUCCGGCGCCCGCCGCCGCGGAGUCGCCGCCGCCGCCCCAAUUCAACCCUAGGUACCGUGGAGCAGCAGCGCGGCGCGCAUCUCCUGAACCGCGGAGUCGCCACCGCCGACCGCGUAGACGCCGCCGCUCGCCGCCACCCGCUGGAGUCUCCGCCGAUCGCCAGAUUCUUCGCCUACCGCCGUCGGGGAGUCGGCGCCGCCGCCCCGUUGCAACCCUAGAUGAGGCUGCGACGGAUUGGA
RNAcentral lists this long non-coding RNA (1301 nucleotides) under Setaria italica (foxtail millet). RNAcentral describes it as "long non-coding RNA (SITA_LNC000046)". Lineage: Eukaryota; Viridiplantae; Streptophyta; Magnoliopsida; Poales; Poaceae. The record is from RNAcentral.